This 573-nucleotide small RNA is filed under the name Pongo abelii (Sumatran orangutan). Its description in RNAcentral is "retained intron". The record is from RNAcentral. Lineage: Eukaryota; Metazoa; Chordata; Mammalia; Primates; Hominidae.
GAUUUGGCGGGGCCUUUGUCUCUUGCUGCAGCCGGUGCUCCAAGUCUAGUCUUCACUGCUCUGCGUUCUCUGCUGUUAAAGGCUCGCCGCUGUGACCCUGUUACCUGCAAGAACUUGGAGGUUCACAGCUAAGACUCCAGGACCCCCUGGAAGCCUAGAAAUGGGACCGCUGACAUUUAGGGAUGUGAAAAUAGAAUUCUCUCUAGAGGAAUGGCAAUGCCUGGACACUGCGCAGCGGAAUUUAUAUAGAGAUGUGAUGUUAGAGAACUACAGAAACCUGGUCUUCCUUGGUGAGGAUAAUUUCAAUACACAAUACUCUAAAAGUUUCAUUUCUCCUCUUUGUAAAAUGUUUUUUGGUAAUUUAUGCUUUGCAUAAAUGAGUUUCAGAUCCCAGUUUUCAAGAAAACAGAUUUGUCAGUGUAGAAAAGAACUUCUUCAAGAUGUUUCAUUUUGACCUGAACUCACCACAUUCCUGAGCUGAUCUAUAUCCUUCACUCUAAAUUAGUGGUAAUUCCAGAAAUUUAUUGGCAUAAAAUAUUGUUGCUACCACCAAUUUUUCAUUUAGUAGUACUG